AUUGAACGCUGGCGGCAGGCCUAAUACAUGCAAGUCGAACGGUAACAGGAAACAGCUUGCUGUUUCGCUGACGAGUGGCGGACGGGUGAGUAAUGUCUGGGAAACUGCCUGAUGGAGGGGGAUAACUACUGGAAACGGUAGCUAAUACCGCAUAACGUCGCAAGACCAAAGAGGGGGACCUUCGGGCCUCUUGCCAUCGGAUGUGCCCAGAUGGGAUUAGCUAGUAGGUGGGGUAACGGCUCACCUAGGCGACGAUCCCUAGCUGGUCUGAGAGGAUGACCAGCCACACUGGAACUGAGACACGGUCCAGACUCCUACGGGAGGCAGCAGUGGGGAAUAUUGCACAAUGGGCGCAAGCCUGAUGCAGCCAUGCCGCGUGUAUGAAGAAGGCCUUCGGGUUGUAAAGUACUUUCAGCGGGGAGGAAGGGAGUAAAGUUAAUACCUUUACUCAUUGACGUUACCCGCAGAAGAAGCACCGGCUAACUCCGUG
Molecule: ribosomal RNA, 490 nt
Filed under: uncultured bacterium
Lineage: Bacteria
Description: partial 16S ribosomal RNA
Rfam family: Bacterial small subunit ribosomal RNA
Source: RNAcentral